RNAcentral lists this long non-coding RNA (1019 nucleotides) under Sarcophilus harrisii (Tasmanian devil). RNAcentral's name for it is "lncRNA (ENSSHAG00000028663.1)". The record is from RNAcentral. Lineage: Eukaryota; Metazoa; Chordata; Mammalia; Dasyuromorphia; Dasyuridae.
CAGGAUGUAGAACAGGAUUCAAUAGGGAAGUUAAUCUCUGUGCAAAUAAUUUAAAAUCAAAUAGAUUUUCUUCUUAGCCUAAGUCAAUACUUUAAAAAUGAUGCCCUACUUUAUAUUUACUGCUGAGGCUAAACACCUUAAAAUUACUAGUAUAAAGCACCAGCCCUGAAGUCAGGAGAACCCGAGUUCAAAUGUGCCCUCAGACACUUAACACUUCCUAGCUGUGUGACCCUAGGCAAGUCAUUUAACCCCAAUUGCCUCAGCAAAAACAAAACAAAACAAAACAAAAAAACCCCAAAAACUACUAAUAUAAAAUUUUUGAGUCAAAGAGCCUGUCAGAAUGUUGAGAAAAGAAGCUAUUAAAAAAAAUAAUAAUAAGAUAACCAUUAAGGACUCCAAAAAUUCAAAAUUGGAAGUUUCCAUUCUCUUUAAUAGAAAGCAUUAGAGCAUCAUCUUAUUUCAGCCUUUUUUUCAAUUUGCAAGCUAUGGUUGACAAAGUACUUCCCAUAUCUGAAAAAUCUAGAUGAGUAUGUAGUUACACUUCAAGAAUGCUGUCAUUUUUAGACAAUAAGCAGUAUGCUGAAUAAAAAAAAAAUUCAAUAAUUUUGCACUGUCUUCACAUUUAUUAUCUGUUCUGUCACUUAAAAUUUGCUGCAGCUCAAUCAGCAGUGAAAAGGUAUAAGGUGAGUAAGAAAAAUAAUUCAUUAAAAAAUAUGUCCACAAAUACUGUGCACACUAGUAUAUAAUGAAUCAACUCAUAAAAUGAUCAGAAUUUUUCUAAAUAAAACUCAAAUUUUGAUCUCCAGUUGCUAGAGUAGAAAUUUAUUUCAGAGAUUAACAGAGCCCUAUUCCCUCCUUUAGGUGCUUGAACCGUACUCAGCCUAUGGGACAAUGACACUCAACAUAAACACACUCUCUAAUACACAAUAGUGAAAAAUGGCAAAAAGGACAAAAGAGACACACAAGAGAAUUUCUGACAAUUUCUUCUGAUUGCUUAAAAACAUUUGGGAUACAUGUCU